This 255-nucleotide long non-coding RNA is filed under the name Elaeis guineensis (African oil palm). RNAcentral's name for it is "long non-coding RNA (EGUI_LNC050797)". The record is from RNAcentral. Lineage: Eukaryota; Viridiplantae; Streptophyta; Magnoliopsida; Arecales; Arecaceae.
UUGAGAUACAAUAUAGUUGACUAAAUUAGGAUUGACAGUUAAAUCCUAGGUCACUUUAAGUAUUUGGGUCAAAAAGAUGAAUCAUAUGGUAACCAUACGUCAGUAGGUUCUAAAAGGUUGCUUUGCAAUACUUCGACCUAUCCAGUCGUCGAGUCAUCAUGGCUAGAUGGUUAUAUCGAUUGGUAUAGAAAGUUAUUCCUAUGCUAAUGCCUUAGGUUUGAAUCUAUGAGAUCACAUGCAUUAGAAUAUUUGGUC